CGUGUAGGCGGCCUCCUAAGUCUGAUGUGAAAGCCCGGGGCUUACCCCCGGAAGUGCAUUGGAAACUGGGAGGCUAGAGUACCGGAGAGGAAGGUGGAAUUCCUGGUGUAGCGGUGAAAUGCGUAGAUAUCAGGAGGAACACCGGUGGCGAAGGCGGCCUUCUGGACGGAUACUGACGCUGAGACGCGAAAGCGUGGGGAGCAAACAGGAUUAGAUACCCUGGUAGUCCACGCUGUAAACGAUGGGCACUAGGUGUUCGGGGUAUUGACCCCCUGAGUGCCGCAGCUAACGCAUUAAGUGCCCCGCCUGGGGACUACGGCCGCAAGGUUAAA
RNAcentral lists this ribosomal RNA (332 nucleotides) under uncultured Pseudomonadota bacterium. Its description in RNAcentral is "bacterial SSU rRNA". It matches the Rfam family "Bacterial small subunit ribosomal RNA", at positions 568 to 898 of the family's 1533-position model. Lineage: Bacteria; Pseudomonadati; Pseudomonadota. The record is from RNAcentral.